UGAUUUUGAUUUUUGUUUUGGGCUGCGUUGUGCUUUGGGCCAGGGUUAAAUGUUUGGGUAGUUAAUUUGGGUUUGGUUUAGUGGGUUUUGUAAUCUAGAUGGCUAUUGGACUGUUAUAAUUGUUUGCUUGGUUUAUAUUUGGGUUUUUUAUUUUUUUUUCUGGUUUACUUUUGGUUUGCGGGCCCGGGCAAAUAUUGGGCCUUAGAGCUGCCCCUCUUUGCUCAUUGUCGUGUAACGAGAAUAGAGCAAAGACUAAAGAGGACCAAUUUUGCCCGGACGCGCUUGGGCUUUGGUACUCCUCUUCUUCAAAUGGCUUCAUUCCAUCCUACUGCAUCUUCAGAGGUAUAGGAAAUAGUGCUUC
Molecule: long non-coding RNA, 361 nt
Filed under: Gossypium raimondii (Peruvian cotton)
Lineage: Eukaryota; Viridiplantae; Streptophyta; Magnoliopsida; Malvales; Malvaceae
Description: long non-coding RNA (GRAI_LNC011166)
Source: RNAcentral